Molecule: non-coding RNA, 71 nt
Organism: Teladorsagia circumcincta
Lineage: Eukaryota; Metazoa; Nematoda; Chromadorea; Rhabditida; Trichostrongylidae
Source: the annotation of a GenBank genome assembly
GCUUCGUAGUGUAGUGGUAAGGCUCUCGCUUAUUGUGCUCCUGGUCAUGGGUUCGAUUUCCGUCGAGGGCA